GACUUUGGGUAAUCGAGCACAGCAAUUGUUGUGUUAGGAAGGUCCAUGCUCGCACGAGCUGCGAUGCUCGUAGUGUUUGUGCUCGCUGAAACGAUAAGGCGGGGCACCGAUUUCGGUGACGGCGGAAAAAGCGGCUACGGCUUUGGCUAUGCCCUAGUAUUCCUGAAAAGUGCCACAGUGACGAAGCAGGAUUGGAAACAAUUCUGAUGGAACGCGGUAAACCCCUCAAGCGGUAAACCCAAACUACGGUC
Molecule: RNase P RNA, 251 nt
Filed under: Limosilactobacillus coleohominis
Lineage: Bacteria; Bacillati; Bacillota; Bacilli; Lactobacillales; Lactobacillaceae
Description: partial RNase P RNA component class B
Rfam family: Bacterial RNase P class B
About the family: Ribonuclease P (RNase P) is a ubiquitous endoribonuclease, found in archaea, bacteria and eukarya as well as chloroplasts and mitochondria.
Source: RNAcentral